CGUUGAAAAGUGAGCGGAUGAACUGAGGGUAGCGGAGAAAUUCCAAUCGAACUUGGAGAUAGCUGGUUCUCUCCGAAAUAGCUUUAGGGCUAGCCUCAAGUGAUGAUUAUUGGAGGUAGAGCACUGUUUGGACGAGGGGCCCCUCUCGGGUUACCGAAUUCAGACAAACUCCGAAUGCCAAUUAAUUUAACUUGGGAGUCAGAACAUGGGUGAUAAGGUCCGUGUUCGAAAGGGAAACAGCCCAGACCACCAGCUAAGGUCCCAAAAUAUAUGUUAAGUGGAAAAGGAUGUGGCGUUGCCCAGACAACUAGGAUGUUGGCUUAGAAGCAGCCAUCAUUUAAAGAGUGCGUAAUAGCUCACUAGUCGAGUGACACUGCGCCGAAAAUGUACCGGGGCUAAACAUAUUACCGAAGCUGUGGAUUGUCCUUUGGACAAUGGUAGGAGAGCGUUCUAAGGGCGUCGAAGCAUGAUCGCAAGGACAUGUGGAGCGCUUAGAAGUGAGAAUGCCGGUGUGAGUAG
Molecule: ribosomal RNA, 519 nt
Filed under: Staphylococcus epidermidis
Lineage: Bacteria; Bacillati; Bacillota; Bacilli; Caryophanales; Staphylococcaceae
Description: bacterial LSU rRNA
Rfam family: Bacterial large subunit ribosomal RNA
Source: RNAcentral